This is a long non-coding RNA of Chinchilla lanigera (long-tailed chinchilla), 414 nucleotides long. NCBI's taxonomy places the organism in Eukaryota, Metazoa, Chordata, Mammalia, Rodentia, Chinchillidae. The record is from Ensembl.
CCAGCAGCUUAGCGACAUGCCUGGAAGGAUGUGGCAGACGUGGAUAUGGAGUCAAGGAGAUUGAUAGUUGGAUCCUGAUCAUCUGAUCUACACUGGAACAGGACCACAACUUCCCUGAAGACAAUGCUAUGAGCCAAAAGGGAACAGCCUUGAAAUUGGUAUUGUACCUGUUUCCCUGGUCAUCUUUUACAGGAAGACAAACAUGACCUGUCCUUCUUGCCCUGAAGGAGACAAACAACAACUUCAUCUCAGACAUAGGAGAACUGAGACUGAGAAAAGGAGAAGACUUUUCAAAUCACCUUGAGGGACAGAGGCUGAACCAGAACUCUGGACUCCAUGAGCUGUCAUAAAUCCCCUGAAAACUGUCUUAGACACAGGUAAUGACACUACAGAGAGUCUCUUGCACACAGAAGC